RNAcentral lists this ribosomal RNA (447 nucleotides) under uncultured bacterium. Its description in RNAcentral is "partial 16S ribosomal RNA". It matches the Rfam family "Bacterial small subunit ribosomal RNA", at positions 328 to 792 of the family's 1533-position model. The record is from RNAcentral.
GCUCCAGACUCCUACGGGAGGCAGCAGUGGGGGAUAUUGCACAAUGGGGGGAACCCUGAUGCAGCGACGCCGCGUGGGUGAAGAAGCGCCUCGGCGCGUAAAGCCCUGUCAGCAGGGAAGAAAAUGACGGUACCUGAAGAAGAAGCCCCGGCUAACUACAUGCCAGCAGCCGCGGUAAUACGUAGGGGGCAAGCGUUAUCCGGAUUUACUGGGUGUAAAGGGAGCGUAGACGGUGAAGCAAGUCUGAAGUGAAAGGCGGGGGCUCAACCCCCGGACUGCUUUGGAAACUGUUUGACUGGAGUGCAGGAGAGGUAAGUGGAAUUCCUAGUGUAGCGGUGAAAUGCGUAGAUAUUAGGAGGAACACCAGUGGCGAAGGCGACUUUCUGGACUGUACCUGACGCUGAGGCGCGAAAGCGUGGGUAGCGAACGGGAUUAGAUACCCGCGUA